Molecule: ribosomal RNA, 402 nt
Filed under: Pardaliscidae sp. BOLD:ADL0244
Lineage: Eukaryota; Metazoa; Arthropoda; Malacostraca; Amphipoda; Pardaliscidae
Description: partial 16S ribosomal RNA
Source: RNAcentral
GAACUGGAUGAAGGUUUUACAAUGAAGAAGGUUUUUCCUAACUUAAAAAAAAUAAUUUAUAUUUUAAGUAAAAAUACUUAAAUAAUUUAAAAAGACGAUAAGACCCUAAAAGUUUGAGUUAUAUUAAUUUAUUUGUGUUUAUAAAUAGGAUAAUGUUUAUUUAACGUUCGCUGGGGUAGUUGUUUUAUAAAAGUUAGGUUUGGUUAAACCAUAUAUUAAUGAAUAUCAGAUCUUAUAUAUAUGGAUGAAUAGAUUUAAUUACUUUAGGGAUAACAGCGCGAUAAUUUUAAGGAGACCAUAUUUAUGAAAUUGAUUGCGACCUCGAUGUUGAAUUAAAAUAAACUAUACGGGGCAGAAGACGUAUAAGAGAGUUUGUUCAACUUUUAAAUUUUUACAUGAUUU